UACCUGCAGCUCAAGUGGUAACCGCUAUUAUUGGGCCUAAAGCGUCCGUAGCCGGUUUAGUAAAUAUCUGGGUAAAUCGUGAGGCUUAACUUCACGAAUUUCGGAUAGACUACUAGACUUGGGACCGGGGGAGGUCAGAGGUACUCCAGGGGUAGCGGUGAAAUGUUGUAAUCCUUGGAGGACCACCGGUAGCGAAGGCGUCUGACUAGAACGGAUCCGACGGUGAGGGACGAAGCCCUGGGGCGCAAACCGGAUUAGAUACCCCUGUA
RNAcentral lists this ribosomal RNA (269 nucleotides) under uncultured prokaryote. RNAcentral describes it as "partial 16S ribosomal RNA". It matches the Rfam family "Archaeal small subunit ribosomal RNA", at positions 474 to 743 of the family's 1478-position model. The record is from RNAcentral.